AGUGAACGCUGGCGGUAGACCUAACACAUGCAAGUCGAACGGCAGCACAGUAAGAGCUUGCUCUUACGGGUGGCGAGUGGCGGACGGGUGAGGAAUACAUCGGAAUCUACUUUUUCGUGGGGAUAACGUAGGGAAACUUACGCUAAUACCGCAUACGACCUACGGGUGAAAGCCGGGGAUCUUCGGACCUUGCGCGAUUGAAUGAGCCGAUGUCGGAUUAGCUAGUUGGCGGGGUAAAGGCCCACCAAGGCGACGAUCCGUAGCUGGUCUGAGAGGAUGAUCAGCCACACUGGAACUGAGACACGGUCCAGACUCCUACGGGAGGCAGCAGUGGGGAAUAUUGGACAAUGGGCGCAAGCCUGAUCCAGCCAUACCGCGUGGGUGAAGAAGGCCUUCGGGUUGUAAAGCCCUUUUGUUGGGAAAGAAAAGCAGCAGGUUAAUACCCCGCUGUUCUGACGGUACCCAAAGAAUAAGCACCGGCUAACUUCGUG
RNAcentral lists this ribosomal RNA (491 nucleotides) under uncultured bacterium. RNAcentral describes it as "partial 16S ribosomal RNA". It matches the Rfam family "Bacterial small subunit ribosomal RNA", at positions 29 to 507 of the family's 1533-position model. The record is from RNAcentral.